UUCUGGGAGGAUUGACAGAUUGAGAGCCCUUUCUUGAUUCGGUGGAUGGUGGUGCAUGUCCGUUCUUAGUUAGUGGAGCGAUUUGUCUGGUUAAUUCCGAUAACGAACGAGACUCUAGCCUAGGUGCGUGGUUUUCUGCACCUUGCAUCCUUCUUAGAGGGAUAAGCGGCUCCUAGCCGCACGAAACAGAGUAAUAACAGGUAUGUGAUGCCCUUAGAU
This 219-nucleotide ribosomal RNA is filed under the name Ixodes scapularis (black-legged tick). RNAcentral describes it as "eukaryotic small subunit ribosomal RNA". It matches the Rfam family "Eukaryotic small subunit ribosomal RNA", at positions 1229 to 1478 of the family's 1831-position model. The record is from RNAcentral. Lineage: Eukaryota; Metazoa; Arthropoda; Arachnida; Ixodida; Ixodidae.